UAUAGCCCCAGGAUUGAAGUUCGGGUGCUGGAACUAGGCAGUAUAAAGUGUUGUAACGCUCUUUGAAGUCCUGACUAAACAGUUAAAGUGACUCGACCCUGCCGUGUGCCUUUAUUCCCACACCUCCACCACCGCGCAGCAAAAGACCCGUAGCAUCCCCACCGGACAGCGGCUAGUGACUUUUUGUGCACCCCUGAGUCCAGCUCACUCAGCCACCUUCUGUUAUUUGUCCUACACUGAUCCUGCACUGUUCUGGAAACUGCUUGUAGUGAUGCCACUCCUGCUGCCUGAGUAAACCAAUAAACCAUUAACCAGAAUAACAGACCAGUGUGAGGCAGGAGAUCGGCAGUCAAUUUAUGACAAGACAAAAAUUAUUUGUAAAUUAUUUCUUGGCA
Molecule: long non-coding RNA, 395 nt
Organism: Trichomycterus rosablanca
Lineage: Eukaryota; Metazoa; Chordata; Actinopteri; Siluriformes; Trichomycteridae
Exons: 4
Source: RefSeq, a predicted model, not a curated record